AAACAAGGGCAAACCUGUUGAAAAGCAGGGACGCAAAGCCAAGGGUCUAAGGUCGUGGGACUAUGACAGCCGGUUGCCAC
RNAcentral lists this non-coding RNA (80 nucleotides) under human gut metagenome. RNAcentral's name for it is "Cyclic di-GMP-I riboswitch". It matches the Rfam family "c-di-GMP-I riboswitch aptamer". From Rfam's summary of the family: GEMM was predicted in a large-scale screen for bacterial structured RNA regulatory elements. The record is from RNAcentral.